RNAcentral lists this signal recognition particle RNA (288 nucleotides) under Otus sunia (Oriental scops-owl). RNAcentral's name for it is "Metazoan signal recognition particle RNA (ENSOSUG00000005293.1)". It matches the Rfam family "Metazoan signal recognition particle RNA". From Rfam's summary of the family: The signal recognition particle (SRP) is a universally conserved ribonucleoprotein. It is involved in the co-translational targeting of proteins to membranes. The record is from Rfam by way of RNAcentral. Lineage: Eukaryota; Metazoa; Chordata; Aves; Strigiformes; Strigidae.
GCUGGGUGUGGUGGCGUGUGCCUGUAGCCCCAGCGACUCGGGAGGCUGAGCCUGCCAGAUCGCUUGAGCCCAGGAGUUCUGGGCUGCAGUGCGCUAUGCCGAGCGGGCAUUCGUGCUAAGACUGGCAUCAAUACGGUGACUCCCGGGGAGCAGCAGGACACCAGAUUGUGUAAGGAGAGGUGAGCCGUCCCAGGUCAGAGAUGGAGCAGGUCAAAGCUCCCAUGCUGCUCAGUUUUUUUUUCUUUUUUUUAGACUGUCCUGGUUUUGGCCAGGAUGGAGUUGACUUUC